Molecule: ribosomal RNA, 246 nt
Filed under: uncultured bacterium
Lineage: Bacteria
Description: partial 16S ribosomal RNA
Rfam family: Bacterial small subunit ribosomal RNA
Source: RNAcentral
ACGAGGUGGUAACACCUAGUGGCAAACGAGCGAGUAAUGAAUAGGAACUUGCCUUUUAGUUUGGGAUAGCCAUUGGAAACGAUGGGUAAUACCAGAUAAUACCGCAUGCGGGAAAGAUUUAUCGCUAAAAGAUAGGCCUAUUUCGGAUUAGCUAGUUGGUGAGGUAAUGGCUCACCAAGGCAGUGAUCUGUAGCCGAUAUGAGAGUAUGGUCGGCCGCGCCGGAACUGAGACACGGUCCGGACUCC